This 450-nucleotide ribosomal RNA is filed under the name uncultured bacterium. Its description in RNAcentral is "partial 16S ribosomal RNA". It matches the Rfam family "Bacterial small subunit ribosomal RNA", at positions 354 to 796 of the family's 1533-position model. The record is from RNAcentral.
GUGGGGAAUUUUGGACAAUGGGCGAAAGCCUGAUCCAGCCAUGCCGCGUGCAGGAUGAAGGCCUUCGGGUUGUAAACUGCUUUUGUACGGAACGAAAAGCCUCUGGUUAAUACCCGGGGGUCAUGACGGUACCGUAUGAAUAAGCACCGGCUAACUACGUGCCAGCAGCCGCGGUAAUACGUAGGGUGCGAGCGUUAAUCGGAAUUACUGGGCGUAAAGCGUGCGCAGGCGGUGAUGUAAGACAGUUGUGAAAUCCCCGGGCUCAACCUGGGAACUGCAUCUGUGACUGCAUUGCUGGAGUGCGGCAGAGGGGGAUGGAAUUCCGCGUGUAGCAGUGAAAUGCGUAGAUAUGCGGAGGAACACCGAUGGCGAAGGCAAUCCCCUGGGCCUGCACUGACGCUCAUGCACGAAAGCGUGGGGAGCAAACAGGAUUAGAAACCCGGGUAGUCC